Molecule: ribosomal RNA, 496 nt
Filed under: uncultured bacterium
Lineage: Bacteria
Description: partial 16S ribosomal RNA
Rfam family: Bacterial small subunit ribosomal RNA
Source: RNAcentral
AUGAACGCUGGCGGCGUGCCUCAUCCAUGCAAGUCGCGCGAACGGACGAGAAGCUUGCUUUUCUGAUGUUAGCGGCGGACGGGUGAGUAACACGUGGAUAACCUACCUAUAAGACUGGGAUAACUUCGGGAAACCGGAGCUAAUACCGGAUAAUAUUUUGAACCGCAUGGUUCAAAAGUGAAAGACGGUCUUGCUGUCACUUAUAGAUGGAUCCGCGCUGCAUUAGCUAGUUGGUAAGGUAACGGCUCACCAAGGCAACGAUGCAUAGCCGACCUGAGAGGGUGAUCGGCCACACUGGAACUGAGACACGGUCCAGACUCCUACGGGAGGCAGCAGUAGGGAAUCUUCCGCAAUGGGCGAAAGCCUGACGGAGCAACGCCGCGUGAGUGAUGAAGGUCUUCGGAUCGUAAAACUCUGUUAUUAGGGAAGAACAUAUGUGUAAGUAACUGUGCACAUCUUGACGGUACCUAAUCAGAAAGCCACGGCUAACUACGUG